RNAcentral lists this ribosomal RNA (467 nucleotides) under uncultured bacterium. RNAcentral's name for it is "partial 16S ribosomal RNA". It matches the Rfam family "Bacterial small subunit ribosomal RNA", at positions 28 to 507 of the family's 1533-position model. The record is from RNAcentral.
GACGAACGCUGGCGGCGUGCUUAACACAUGCAAGUCGAACGGAAAGGCUCCAGCUUGCUGGAGUACUCGAGUGGCGAACGGGUGAGUAACACGUGGGUAAUCUGCCCUGCACUCUGGGAUAAGCCUGGGAAACUGGGUCUAAUACUGGAUAUGACCUUUCUCCUUAUGGGGUUUGGUGGAAAGUUUUUCGGUGUAGGAUGAGCCCGCGGCCUAUCAGCUUGUUGGUGGGGUGAUGGCCUACCAAGGCGACGCCGGGUAGCCGGCCUGAGAGGGUGAGCGGCCACAGUGGGACUGAGAUACGGCCCAGACUCCUACGGGAGGCAGCAGUGGGGAAUAUUGCACAAUGGGCGGAAGCCUGAUGCAGCGACGCCGCGUGAGGGAUGACGGCCUUCGGGUUGUAAACCUCUUUCAGCAGGGACGAAGCGUAAGUGACGGUACCUGCAGAAGAAGCACCGGCUAACUAUGUG